GAUGAAGAACGUAGCGAAAUGCGAUAAGUAAUGUGAAUUGCAGAAUUCAGUGAAUCAUCGAAUCUUUGAACGCACAUUGCGCCCGCCAGCAUUCUGGCGGGCAUGCCUGUUCGAGCGUCUUUUCAACCCUCGAGCCCCCCCGGGGGCCUCGGUGUUGGGGGACGGCACACCAGCCGCCCCCGAAAUGCAGUGGCGACCCCGCCGCAGCCUCCCCUGCGUAGUAGCACACACCUCGCACCGGAGCGCGGAGGCGGUCACGCCGUAAAACGCCCAACUUUCUUAGAGUUGACCUCGGAUCAGGUAGGAAUACCCGCUGAACUUAAGCAUAUCAAUAAGCGGAGGA
RNAcentral lists this unclassified non-coding RNA (343 nucleotides) under soil metagenome. Its description in RNAcentral is "partial contains 5.8S ribosomal RNA, internal transcribed spacer 2, and large subunit ribosomal RNA". The stretch from base 1 to 120 matches the Rfam family "5.8S ribosomal RNA", at positions 35 to 154 of the family's 154-position model. The record is from RNAcentral.